RNAcentral lists this ribosomal RNA (615 nucleotides) under uncultured marine bacterium. RNAcentral's name for it is "bacterial SSU rRNA". It matches the Rfam family "Bacterial small subunit ribosomal RNA", at positions 8 to 606 of the family's 1533-position model. The record is from RNAcentral.
AGAGUUUGAUCAUGGCUCAGGACGAACGCUGGCGGCGUGCCUAAUACAUGCAAGUCGAGCGAAUCGACGGGAGCUUGCUCCCUGAGAUUAGCGGCGGACGGGUGAGUAACACGUGGGCAACCUGCCUAUAAGACUGGGAUAACUUCGGGAAACCGGAGCUAAUACCGGAUACGUUCUUUUCUCGCAUGAGAGUAGAUGGAAAGACGGUUUACGCUGUCACUUAUAGAUGGGCCCGCGGCGCAUUAGCUAGUUGGUGAGGUAAUGGCUCACCAAGGCGACGAUGCGUAGCCGACCUGAGAGGGUGAUCGGCCACACUGGGACUGAGACACGGCCCAGACUCCUACGGGAGGCAGCAGUAGGGAAUCUUCCGCAAUGGACGAAAGUCUGACGGAGCAACGCCGCGUGAACGAAGAAGGCCUUCGGGUCGUAAAGUUCUGUUGUUAGGGAAGAACAAGUACCAGAGUAACUGCUGGUACCUUGACGGUACCUAACCAGAAAGCCACGGCUAACUACGUGCCAGUAGCCGCGGUAAUACGUAGGUGGCAAGCGUUGUCCGGAAUUAUUGGGCGUAAAGCGCGCGCAGGUGGUUCCUUAAGUCUGAUGUGAAAGCCCACG